AUUGCGUAACGCGUGGGAAUCUGCCUUUAGGUACGGAAUAACUCUCCGAAAGGGGUGCUAAUACCGUAUAAUGUCUUCGGACCAAAGAUUUAUCGCCUUUAGAUGGGCCCGCGUUGGAUUAGCUAGUUGGUGAGGUAAAGGCUCACCAAGGCGACGAUCCAUAGCUGGUCUGAGAGGAUGAUCAGCCACACUGGGACUGAGACACGGCCCAGACUCCUACGGGAGGCGGCAGUGGGGAAUAUUGGACAAUGGGCGAAAGCCUGAUCCAGCAAUGCCGCGUGAGUGAUGAAGGCCUUAGGGUUGUAA
RNAcentral lists this ribosomal RNA (306 nucleotides) under Novosphingobium sp. SP45. RNAcentral describes it as "bacterial SSU rRNA". It matches the Rfam family "Bacterial small subunit ribosomal RNA", at positions 105 to 428 of the family's 1533-position model. The record is from RNAcentral. Lineage: Bacteria; Pseudomonadati; Pseudomonadota; Alphaproteobacteria; Sphingomonadales; Sphingomonadaceae.